GUCCAGACUCCUACGGGAGGCAGCAGUGGGGAAUAUUGCACAAUGGGGGAAACCCUGAUGCAGCGACGCCGCGUGAGCGAUGAAGUAUUUCGGUAUGUAAAGCUCUCUCAGCAGGGAAGAAAAUGACGGUACCUGAUUAAGAAGCCCCGGCUAACUACGUGCCAGCAGCCGCGGUAAUACGUAGGGGGCAAGCGUUAUCCGGAUUUACUGGGUGUAAAGGGAGCGUAGACGGCGGUGCAAGCCAGAUGUGAAAGCCCGGGGCCCAACCCCGGGACUGCUCUUGGAACUGCGCGGCUGGAGUGCAGGAGGGGCAGGCGGAAUUCCUGGUGUAGCGGUGAAAUGCGUAGAUAUCAGGAGGAACACCGGUGGCGAAGGCGGCCUGCUGGACUGCGACUGACGUUGAGGCCCGAAAGCGUGGGGAGCAAACAGGAUUAGAUACCCUUGUAC
This 447-nucleotide ribosomal RNA is filed under the name uncultured bacterium. RNAcentral describes it as "partial 16S ribosomal RNA". It matches the Rfam family "Bacterial small subunit ribosomal RNA", at positions 329 to 793 of the family's 1533-position model. The record is from RNAcentral.